UCAUCUCCUGAGAACGAUCAUCAUGUUAACAUCGAAGAUAGAAUCAUUAUGUGAUUGGUUAUGAUGGUUUUACCACUGGAGUGUCAACGAAGUAGUUCAGUUCUUGAAAUGUUACUGUGAGGGGCUUGAAAGGUAACACCAUCUUGCCUGUGGUUAAGCCAGAGUAUGAGUGAGAAGAGUAUGUAGAACGAGAGAAGUGGGUAGACAGAAAACAAGCUCAGAGAGUUUUUCUUGCGAGAUCAUGGCUCGUGAUGAUGUUGGUGCUGUCAUUUUGGUGAAAGAAGUUUAAGUAUAAGGCUGUUGUGUUUCAAAGAACAUAACAUUUAUGUUGGAGAAGAUGGACUUACAUUUCAGGAAAGUCAGCGCCAGAGUGAAAAUGGUGUUGAAGAGAAUAGUGAAACCCACCAAGGCACAGAGUGAUACCCAAUACAUAUAACCAUCGUAGUUCAGUCCACGGCUUUCGAGUAUGGUUCUCCCCAAGGUAAGAUUGCUACUUGGCUGUAUCUACAAAUGGGGAUGUAACAAGAACAAGCUGAUUAGCAUGCAGAGCGCAAAGAAGAAGCUUGUGUGAUUAAGAGACACUUACCUGGUUCCACCUUGGAGCAAGAAACUCAUUUACCGAUAGCCCAAUCUCACUGUAACUCAAUGGAUUUGCCCAGAAACCCCACUUGAGCCACGCCGGCAUAGAAGCUGCAGCAAACACAAAACCUUAAGAGUCGUCUUUGAAUGGUACAAUGUUUGAGGCAAAGGUUGGAGUCUUACGUGGUGGAAUGACAAAACCGGCAAAGACAAAUGUGAUUAAUAUACCAAAACUGCCAGCUGUGACUGAAGCAACUACUGUCUGGAAAAUUGCAGCUAGGCACCGGAACAUGGAUAUCGAAGUGAAGUGAACAAGAAAUAGUAGAAUGAACUGCUUGAAGAACCUGGAACAUUAAACUUCAUCAUGUUUACAGCUGUAUGAACAUUUUUCUAGGUUUAAGUUCCAAGCAGCAGAGUAGAAAGCUCACCUGGAGGCUUCAGGGGUGUACCCAAUGACAUAGUAUGUGAGUCCAGUCCAAACAAAAGAUUCAAGUAACGAGAGUGGGACCUUUAACACCGUUGCAGGGAUUGCAUAAGCCCAUGCUGGAUAGAAACACAACUGCUUCUGUUUGUAAAACACCGCUAAGCAUUGAGCCGUCAUAGCCAACUCAGGGAAUCCAUCAACAAGAAGGAUGAUGACGGCGAAGAAGAGGGCACUCAUGUAAGAGUUUCCAUGAAGGAUAUCAAUACCCAUCCGUGUUCGGAUAAACACAGUCAUAGUGAUGAAUGCUGCCAUCACAAGCUGCAUACAUAAAGCUAGAACGGUCAGGAGUAGUAUUAACAUAGAAAGAAGAUCAGAGGGAGAGAAAUGAAAACUUCAUACUGUACCUGACCCGUCUUGAAAAUAUAGACGAAGUAGUUUCUCUUCAUGAGAAGAUACUCUCUUGAUAUGCAAGCUAUGAACAUCUCCCAGUUUGGUAGAGAGUACACGCUGAAGGAAAGAGCAUCUUUAUGGCUUUUUGAUCUAUCAUAUGGCUUAGAUAGAGCGUCCUCAAUCUUCUUCCCGAUGCUGAAGUCCUUGAAUUUCUUCGACAACAUGUCUACCGAGACAAAGCUAUAAGGUACAUCCUCAUGCCGCCAGUAUUGUGCUUGGUCUUUUCUUGAUAUAACCUUCGAAGCAGAACAAGAGAGGAUCAACAACUCAUGAAACAAAAGGUCACUUUAGGGAACGAAGCUCUGGCUAUACCUCCUGGAGAUAGUCUGCAACACCUUUCCUUUCAGGGCAUUGGAAUCCACACUCCUCAAAGAAGUUCAGGACCUCACCGCGUGGGCCAUGAUACACUAUUUUCCCCUUGGCCAUCAGCAUAACGUCAUCAAAGAGGUCAAAGGACUCUGGAGCAGGUUGAAGAAGCGAAACAACAACAGUAGCGUUUGAUAUGUGAGCCAGCUGCUGAAGAGAUUUAACAAUCUGAAAAGCCGUGGAACUGUCUAAGCCGUUUGUUAUUUCAUCCAUAAACAGUGCCUUUGUUGGACCAACGAUCAUCUCGGCUGCAAAAAGUUAAAAGAGGUUCAGGUACAUGAGCAAAAGUUGACAAUAUUGCAAGUUCCAAGCUAUGAAACUAACCUGUGGUAAGACGUUUCUUUUGGCCCCCUGAUAUGCCUCUCCUCAUCACAUCUCCAAUCAAUGUUUCUGCGCAAAUGUCGAGUCCAAGAAUCUGCAAAUGCGACAGAAGACAUAAGACCCAAACAAGAAAGGGCAGAGUUUCAGCCGAGCUAUCAAAGAGACUAUAAUACCUUCAAGAUGUAAUCUGUUUGCAGACUUCUUUCAAGUCCUUCAACAGAUAUUGCCUACAGGAAACAAAAAGUUAUAAUCAACCACAGAGCUUAAAGGUUAGGCUCAAGGGAUAAGAGAGUGUUAGAGGAAUGUACUUUCAUGAAAAGAAAGAAUUAUGAUACAUUUUUCUUAAUGCACUCUGAGGAGACAUUGAGUCGUUGGUUUAUGAAUCCUACCUGUUCGGCUUCCAACACCCUGACAACGAGCUGAGAAGUCGACUGUCUCCCUAACUGUCAUCUCAGCAAUGUGCAGAUCAUAUUGGCUUAUGUACGCCGAUGUUUUCUGAGGAACAAACUCGUCAAGUCUAUGCCCAUUGUAGGAGAUUUCACCUGAACACUGUGGAAACAGAAAAGGAGGACCAAGCAACAGUGUUAACCUGCAAGAGCAAGAAGAUUUACUAAACCCACUUGGAUGUCAUAAAGCUUUGAUCAUAACUUUGAGCUUCACCAGUUCCUGGAGAAAAUCAAUACAAUAAAAAUUUCAAACUCAAGAGGCUUGAAAGCACUCACAGAAUCAAGACAGCAACAGCUUUUUGAGUGUGCAGAAGUUGUUACUCACAGACAAAACACGCUUAGCAGUGUUCCACAGCGUUGGAAGUGCCUUCCCUUCAACAAUCUCGCACUCUGCCUCCACUUUUAAACCCUCAUACCUCACUUCUAUGGUCGGUAACUCCAUUCCAACUCUGCACAACACAGUUUUAAUCUCAAAGUCCAAGAAUCCGAAAGGAUGACGUUCCAUGGCUCCAAGCUUCGUGACAUCAACGACUCUUUUUCCUUUCUCAGUCAUGGACUCAUCACUAUCAUCAAGGAGAGAGGAUCUCAUGCGUUUGACGGUUGGCAAUCUCUCGAUCUCAGCCCAUUGCAGAGCAUACUCUGCAUUAGUAUCAUUGCCCUCACCAUCAUGAUCAGGUUCAUACCUUGAAGAGCCGCUUCUGAAACUCGAGGUGUGUCUAUGGAACGAUGAUCUGAUGCUUCUUCCAAUCUCUGCAAGCUCCACUCUCAACGACUCAAUCUCGUCUGCUCCAGCCAUAUUAGCCAUGGCUGUGGCUUAAUGAGUUUGAGCUCUCUGUUAUCAGAAACUCAAAGUCUAAUUGAUAGGUAAGCCUAACUGUUUUGACUUGCAGACACAUAUAUAGUUAUACAUUUAUACAUUGUUCAAACUGACACGCUUCAAUGAUGUAAGUGAAUACAUCAGCUUUUCUUCUUUGUUCUUGAAAUGAUCUGCGACUUCCAAGGUCAAAAGAUAUAUUAAUAAUAAAAACACAUGCUGUGAUACUCAAAAAGUUAUUGUGAACAGCUGUGAUCAUGGAGGGUUGAGUAUCAAUUUUAUAUUCCUUGAUAAUUCGAGAAUGGUUCUGGGCCAUGUCUUCAUGCGUUUCUCGUUCUUCAAGUAUAUGUUAUGAUUAAUGUCUAUAUAAUUUAGAUUCCCCUCUAAGAAAGUCUUAUGUAUAUAUACACAUUUACUUGUUAUUUUAUGUAGAAUGUAAUACGUAUGUUUUUAUUGUGACAUUUCCAACCAA
Brassica napus (rape) is the source of this 3872-nucleotide long non-coding RNA. RefSeq lists it as uncharacterized. The record is from RefSeq and is a predicted model, not a curated record. Lineage: Eukaryota; Viridiplantae; Streptophyta; Magnoliopsida; Brassicales; Brassicaceae. The transcript has 6 exons.